Molecule: non-coding RNA, 70 nt
Organism: Megalops atlanticus (tarpon)
Lineage: Eukaryota; Metazoa; Chordata; Actinopteri; Elopiformes; Megalopidae
Source: the annotation of a GenBank genome assembly
AGCAAUAUGGCAUAGUGGUAAGGAGCAGGGCUUGUAACCGAAAGGUUGCUGGUUCGAUUCCCCAUUGCUA